UACGUAGGGGGCAAGCGUUGUCCGGAAUUAUUGGGCGUAAAGAGCGCGUAGGCGGUCCGGCAAGUCGGUUGUGAAAGUCGGGGGCUCAACCCUCGGAUGCCGAUCGAUACUGUCGGGCUAGAGUCCGGAAGAGGCGAGUGGAAUUCCCGGUGUAGCGGUGAAAUGCGCAGAUAUCAGGAGGAACACCGGUGGCGAAGGCGGAUCUCUGGGCCAUUACUGACGCUGAGGAGCGAAAGCGUGGGGAGCGAACAGG
RNAcentral lists this ribosomal RNA (253 nucleotides) under uncultured bacterium. Its description in RNAcentral is "partial 16S ribosomal RNA". It matches the Rfam family "Bacterial small subunit ribosomal RNA", at positions 524 to 776 of the family's 1533-position model. The record is from RNAcentral.